AAUCCUUAGUUAUGCUUAUGCUCCUAGAGAUAUUUGGGGGAAAAGAAAUCCCCGAAUGUAAAAGUGCGCGAUUUGGGGUCCAACAGAUGGAGAAUUCUAGAAGAACAAGUAACACAAGGACUAGAUCAUUUAUUGUUAACAGCUGGGUCGCCUAGAUCUCGAAACCAAAGAUUUGAUAUCUACGCGGGUGACAGUGCGAUCAACUCAAACAGAGGAACUGCUGAGAUUGUUCCCUUAAAGAAGAAUCAGCCAUCCAAUCCUUUCAAUCGAUAACCAAGGCAGAGCGGAGGAGAAACGACGGAAUCUUGGACGAACAGGGUAAGGAAAGGCGGGGAGAUCGCCGGCACCGCACUCACAGGCGUUCGACGCGGCUGGCCUGGUUGCAGGUGACGUGGAACCAGGUGCAGGGGUUGACGAGCGUGGGGUCCCAGCUCUGCAGCACGCCGUUGGGGUCCCUGAGGCGCUGCCGCAGCGCGUAGAGCGCGUCCCCCUCGUCGUUGGACGCGUAGACGACGCCGUGGGUGGCGGCGACGGCGAGGAGCGCCGCGAGGGCCACGGCGCGAGCCGCCAUCGGAGACGGAAACCAGCCGGGGAGAGGGAGCGAGGAGGAGGAGGAGGAGGAGGGCAGG
RNAcentral lists this long non-coding RNA (629 nucleotides) under Setaria italica (foxtail millet). RNAcentral's name for it is "long non-coding RNA (SITA_LNC007075)". The record is from RNAcentral. Lineage: Eukaryota; Viridiplantae; Streptophyta; Magnoliopsida; Poales; Poaceae.